Molecule: ribosomal RNA, 497 nt
Filed under: uncultured bacterium
Lineage: Bacteria
Description: partial 16S ribosomal RNA
Rfam family: Bacterial small subunit ribosomal RNA
Source: RNAcentral
GAUGAACGCUGGCGGCGUGCCUAAUACAUGCAAGUCGAGCGAACAGACGAGGAGCUUGCUCCUCUGACGUUAGCGGCGGACGGGUGAGUAACACGUGGAUAACCUACCUAUAAGACUGGGAUAACUUCGGGAAACCGGAGCUAAUACCGGAUAAUAUAUUGAACCGCAUGGGUCAAUAGUGAAAUACGGUUUUGCUGUCACUUAUAGAUGGAUCCGCGCCGCAUUAGCUAGUUGGUAAGGUAACGGCUUACCAAGGCAACGAUGCGUAGCCGAACUGAGAGGGUGAUCGGCCACACUGGAACGGAGACACGGUCCAGACUCCUACGGGAGGCAGCAGUAGGGAAUCGUCCGCAAUGGGCGAAAGCUUGACGGAGCAACGCCGCGUGAGUGAUGAAGGUCUUCGGAUCGUAAAACUCUGUUAUUAGGGAAGAACAAAUGUGUAAGUAACUAUGCACGUCUUGACGGUACCUAAUCAGAAAGCAACGGCUAACUACGUG